This 466-nucleotide ribosomal RNA is filed under the name uncultured bacterium. RNAcentral describes it as "partial 16S ribosomal RNA". It matches the Rfam family "Bacterial small subunit ribosomal RNA", at positions 338 to 795 of the family's 1533-position model. The record is from RNAcentral.
CCUACGGGAGGUCAGCAGUGGGGAAUAUUGCGCAAUGGGCGAAAGCCUGACGCAGCGACGCCGCGUGAGGGAUGAAGGUCUUCGGAUCGUAAACCUCUGUCAGCAGGGAAGCCCGGUCACUGUGCUAAUCAGCAGUGAAUUGACGGUACCUGCAAAGGAAGCACCGGCUAACUCCGUGCCAGCAGCCGCGGUAAUACGGAGGGUGCGAGCGUUAAUCGGAAUUACUGGGCGUAAAGCGCUCGUAGGCGGUAUGUCAAGUCAAGGGUGAAAUCCCCGCGCUCAACGUGGGAACUGCCUUUGAAACUGGCAGACUGGAGUGUGUGAGAGGAUAGGGGAAGUACAGGUGUAGGAGUGAGAGCCGUAGAUAUCUGGAGGAAGAUCAGUGGCGAAGGCGACUAUCUGGCACAUAACUGACGCUGAGGAGCGAAAGCGUGGGUAGCAAACAGGAUUAGAUACCCCAGUAGUC